UGGGGAAUAUUGCACAAUGGGCGCAAGCCUGAUGCAGCCAUGCCGCGUGUAUGAAGAAGGCCUUCGGGUUGUAAAGUACUUUCAGCGGGGAGGAAGGUGUUGAGGCUAAUAACCUCAGCAAUUGACGUUACCCGCAGAAGAAGCACCGGCUAACUCCGUGCCAGCAGCCGCGGUAAUACGGAGGGUGCAAGCGUUAAUCGGAAUUACUGGGCGUAAAGCGCACGCAGGCGGUCUGUCAAGUCGGAUGUGAAAUCCCCGGGCUCAACCUGGGAACUGCAUUCGAAACUGGCAGGCUAGAGUCUUGUAGAGGGGGGUAGAAUUCCAGGUGUAGCGGUGAAAUGCGUAGAGAUCUGGAGGAAUACCGGUGGCGAAGGCGGCCCCCUGGACAAGGACUGACGCUCAGGUGCGAAAGCGUGGGGAGCAAACA
This 427-nucleotide ribosomal RNA is filed under the name uncultured bacterium. RNAcentral's name for it is "partial 16S ribosomal RNA". It matches the Rfam family "Bacterial small subunit ribosomal RNA", at positions 355 to 774 of the family's 1533-position model. The record is from RNAcentral.